UACUGUUAACAGACUACAUUGCAUGUGGAAGAACUGUUUAUAGCAAAUAGAGAUGCACUAGUGUAUCGGCCAAUAAUAGGUAUAGAAACAUCUGAUGUCCUGUGUGUAAAGAUGAUGUCUCUUGUGUAGAAUGACGACAAAACUGCAGUUUGUAAGCUCUGCACUGCUAAAAUUUUACACCGGACGCUGCAGCAGUGAAGCGGGAGUUUCGCCAGUACAGCGUUGAAAGAUUUAAAUGAAGUUCUGGAGUGGGACCCAUAAACAUGUAGAAGUCAAGGAUCCCACCAAUGGUGCGCAGGACUCCAUGAGCAUGAGAGCUUGGCUCCAGGCCCAUGUAGAAGGGAUGCACACCAUAAGAGUUCAACUUAUACUGCAGAGAGUGAAAAAAAUCUCCUGAAGGAAACACAUCACCCUGCUGGAUUGGCAGCUAUCAAGUAAGGACUAACUUACGAUCCCUCUGAAGAUGCAGGUUCAAUUUAAGUAUAAUGUGGUUCAUUGAGAAACAUUAUUUCAGUUAUGCCAAUUAAGACCACUUUGAAUGCUGGAAUGAUUGGGCCAUCUUGGAAAAGCUGCUAUUAUUUGUUUUAAGGUUUUUUAUGUUUUGCACCAAUCAUUGCUUGCUUCUUCCUUUUUUCCUUCCAAGUUUAGUUUUAAUGUCCUGUUUUUUCUGGUUUUGAGAUUUAUCUGCCCAUUUGACUCUGCGAAAGGAUUCACCUUAGUUAAGUACAUUUUAAUAUUAUGAGUUCUGACCCCUGCAAGUGACUUUGACAAUGAUUCUCACAAAAGCAUGAAUAAAAAUAUGUAUGCAUUUAUGUCCAACCCCUGCUGGCCUCACUCUGAUACACAUGCUCCAUUACCAUUCAUAUUUUCAUAUAAAUUGGCUAUUGUAUUUUCAUGUAAAUCAGGCUCUCAUGUUAUAUGUGCAUGUGUAAGUGGUGCCUCAUGGUAUAGUUUGCCAAAAUAAAUGCCCACUAAACAUCAAUACAAAAUGUCCUUAUAAAUGAAUUUUGUGCAAUUAGCACCAUGAGUUUGAUUUUGUCAUCUCAUUUGCUUUAUGAUACCAAUACUUAGGUUUUAUUUCUUGACAAUGAUACAGACAACUUGCUUCAUAGUUACUCCAUUAGAAAUACUGAUUGUUUCAUCUUCUACCGUACAUCAAGCAAUGAAUACAUAUACUUUUUUUUAUUUCAUUUGAGCUAUAUUCAACUCAUUAAAUAUAUACAACUCAGGAAUUA
Ictalurus furcatus (blue catfish) is the source of this 1235-nucleotide long non-coding RNA. RefSeq lists it as uncharacterized. Lineage: Eukaryota; Metazoa; Chordata; Actinopteri; Siluriformes; Ictaluridae. The record is from RefSeq and is a predicted model, not a curated record. The transcript is spliced from 4 exons.